AGUAUAAGCAAUCUAUACCGUGAAACUGCGAAUGGCUCAUUAAAUCAGUUAUCGUUUAUUUGAUAGUACCUUACUACUUGGAUAACCGUGGUAAUUCUAGAGCUAAUACAUGCUAAAAACCUCGACUUCGGAAGGGGUGUAUUUAUUAGAUAAAAAACCAAUGCCCUUCGGGGCUCCUUGGUGAUUCAUGAUAACUUAACGAAUCGCAUGGCCUUGUGCCGGCGAUGGUUCAUUCAAAUUUCUGCCCUAUCAACUUUCGAUGGUAGGAUAGUGGCCUACCAUGGUUUCAACGGGUAACGGGGAAUUAGGGUUCUAUUCCGGAGAGGGAGCCUGAGAAACGGCUACCACAUCCAAGGAAGGCAGCAGGCGCGCAAAUUACCCAAUCCCGACACGGGGAGGUAGUGACAAUAAAUACUGAUACGGAGCUCUUUUGGGUUUCGUAAUUGGAAUGAGUACAAUUUAAAUCCCUUAACGAGGAACAAUUGGAGGGCAAGUCUGGUGCCAGCAGCCGCGGUAAUUCCAGCUCCAAUAGCGUAUAUUAAAGUUGUUGCAGUUAAAAAGCUCGUAGUUGAACCUUGGGCCUGGCUGGCCGGUCCGCCUCACCGCGUGCACUGGUCCGGCCGGGCCUUUCCUUCUGGGGAACCGCAUGCCCUUCACUGGGUGUGUCGGGGAUCCAGGACUUUUACUUUGAAAAAAUUAGAGUGUUCAAAGCAGGCCUAUGCUCGAAUACAUUAGCAUGGAAUAAUAGAAUAUGACGUGUGGUUCUAUUUUGUUGGUUUCUAGGACCGCCGUAAUGAUUAAUAGGGAUAGUCGGGGGCAUCAGUAUUCAAUUGUCAGAGGUGAAAUUCUUGGAUUUAUUGAAGACUAACUACUGCGAAAGCAUUUGCCAAGGAUGUUUUCAUUAAUCAGUGAACGAAAGUUAGGGGAUCGAAGACGAUCAGAUACCGUCGUAGUCUUAACCAUAAACUAUGCCGACUAGGGAUCGGGCGAUGUUAUUAUUUUGACUCGCUCGGCACCUUACGAGAAAUCAAAGUUUUUGGGUUCUGGGGGGAGUAUGGUCGCAAGGCUGAAACUUAAAGAAAUGACG
This 1087-nucleotide ribosomal RNA is filed under the name Epithamnolia xanthoriae. RNAcentral's name for it is "SSU rRNA". It matches the Rfam family "Eukaryotic small subunit ribosomal RNA", at positions 62 to 1158 of the family's 1831-position model. Lineage: Eukaryota; Fungi; Ascomycota; Leotiomycetes; Phacidiales. The record is from RNAcentral.